Molecule: long non-coding RNA, 1618 nt
Organism: Ziziphus jujuba (common jujube)
Lineage: Eukaryota; Viridiplantae; Streptophyta; Magnoliopsida; Rosales; Rhamnaceae
Exons: 2
Source: RefSeq, a predicted model, not a curated record
UUGAUACUAACUGCUGGCCAUUUGAUUUUUGAGCUACGUUGUUCUAAAACGGUUCACACAUUUUCAAUUUUUCUUGUUAAUUCAUUAUUAUUCGUAUUUUUCAAAGUUCUCUGUCGACAUUUUCAAUUUUUCAUAUCAAUUCAUUAUUAUUCAUACUUCAAACUUCUUAAAGUCCUUUAUUCACAUUUUCAAUUUUUCUUAUUAAUUCAUUAUUAUUCGUACUUUUCAAAAUUCUCUGUCGACAUUUUCAAUUUUUCAUAUCAAUUCGUUAUUAUUUGUACUUCAUACUUUUCAAAAUCUUCUGUCCACAUUUUCAAUUUUUCUUAUCAAUUCGUUAUUGUUCAUACUUUUCAAAGUCCUUUGUCCAUUUCUAAUUGCGUGUAUAAUCCUUUGUCCAUUUCUAAUUGCGUGUAUAAAAUACUAACCGGUCCAAUUUGGAGCUUAGGUCUUUCGUGCCAAUUUCAAAGAAAUUAAGAAUGACUGAAAGUGAAAGUUUUUUUAUUUGUUUAUUUAUUUAUUUUUGGUAAGGUUACUCAAAUGUAGGAUUUAUAAAUAUUCGAUGAUCAUAACAAUAAUAAUAAUAAUAAUUUAAUUUUUAAGCUAAAGUCAAUCCAAGAACCUUUGAUUCUGGAGUGCAUAUUUUGCUUGCUCUCCAAUUAAUUAGUUUUUAUUUUAUCAAUUUAUUUUUUAUAUUUUAUGGUUUUAAAUGAAUAUGAUAUGGUUUUUAGAUAAUUUUUUUUUUAUUUUCUUGCUGCCAAAUUAGUUAAUGCUAAUUUUACAUAUUUAUUAUUUAUAAUUGUGGCUCUCAAAUGCAUGAUCUGAUCAAAGACUAAUUAAAACCCAAUUACAUAAUUAAUUUUAAAACACAUUUUAGGAUGACCUGACAUUUCUUCUUCUUUUUUUUUUUUUAAUGAAAUUGGAUGGCUUGACUUGCUUUUGAUUAAUUAAACAUAUUUACAUAACUUAUUUUUCAAAAACAAGACAUAUAUUUUUAGACCCUUUUUUUCUUUUUUUUGGCCUAUAUAUAUAAAUGGGCAAACAGAACGAGAGAAAUCAUAUUUAAGACUGUUUUUGCAGGAGAAGCCAUGGGUAUCUUUAAUGUUCUUCGUUAUCUAAUGCUAAUUCUCCUCCUCUUCAGUACUUUCAGCCAUCAUUUGGUUUAUGCAGAUUUAAGGGCAAGGAAACUCGGAGAUCGGCCACCGAUAAGUCCACCUCCACCUCCAGACGAUGCCGUUGCGCCGCAUACUGAUUAAUUCUAGAGUCAUAAUUUAUUUACUAUUAUUUUUUUAGCAAUGAUAUAUUAAAAUGUCAAUGGUUAAAAAAUAUAUAUAUUAAAGGAUCUACAACAUAAACGGUGGGAUCCAAUUUAAAUUAAAUCACAGUUUAUCAUAUAUAAAUUGUUUUUAUAGAUAUUUAACAAAUAAGUUGAAAACUCUAGUAUUACUCUUCUGUCAUAAUGUCACUAAAUAUAAUUGGUAUGGCAUACAUGGGAGAAUUUGUGACAAUUCUACAAGCCAGUGGUUAUAGAUUGUCUGAUGAAAACCAUCUAUUUUUGUUUGUAAUAAUUUCAAUAGUACUUCUUGAUUAUGCAAUAAAAAGCACCCUUAAAUUUAUCUCC